GAGCGUUUCAAGGGUUACAC
RNAcentral lists this non-coding RNA (20 nucleotides) under Arabidopsis thaliana (thale cress). The record is from RNAcentral. Lineage: Eukaryota; Viridiplantae; Streptophyta; Magnoliopsida; Brassicales; Brassicaceae.